GUGAGGAAUAUUGGUCAAUGGGCGGGAGCCUGAACCAGCCAAGUCGCGUGAAGGAAGAAGGAUCUAUGGUUCGUAAACUUCUUUUGCAGGGGAAUAAAGUGCAGGACGUGUCCUGUUUUGUAUGUACCCUGAGAAUAAGGAUCGGCUAACUCCGUGCCAGCAGCCGCGGUAAUACGGAGGAUCCGAGCGUUAUCCGGAUUUAUUGGGUUUAAAGGGUGCGUAGGUGGUUUGAUAAGUCAGCGGUGAAAGUUUGCAGCUUAACUGUAAAAAUGCCGUUGAAACUGUCGGACUUGAGUGUAAAUGAGGUAGGCGGAAUGCGUGGUGUAGCGGUGAAAUACAUAGAUAUCACGCAGAACUCCGAUUGCGAAGGCAGCUUACUAAGCUACAACUGACACUGAAGCACGAAAGCGUGGGGAUCAAACAGGAUUAUAUACCCGGGUAGUCC
This 445-nucleotide ribosomal RNA is filed under the name uncultured bacterium. RNAcentral's name for it is "partial 16S ribosomal RNA". It matches the Rfam family "Bacterial small subunit ribosomal RNA", at positions 354 to 796 of the family's 1533-position model. The record is from RNAcentral.